GACGAACGCUGGCGGCGUGCUUAACACAUGCAAGUCGAACGGAAAGGCCCUGCUUUUGUGGGGUGCUCGAGUGGCGAACGGGUGAGUAACACGUGAGUAACCUGCCCUUGACUUUGGGAUAACUUCAGGAAACUGGGGCUAAUACCGGAUAGGAGCUCCUGCUGCAUGGUGGGGGUUGGAAAGUUUCGGCGGUUGGGGAUGGACUCGCGGCUUAUCAGCUUGUUGGUGGGGUAGUGGCUUACCAAGGCUUUGACGGGUAGCCGGCCUGAGAGGGUGACCGGCCACAUUGGGACUGAGAUACGGCCCAGACUCCUACGGGAGGCAGCAGUGGGGAAUAUUGCACAAUGGGCGGAAGCCUAAUGCAGCAACGCCGCGUGCGGGAUGACGGCCUUCGGGUUGUAAACCGCUUUCGCCUGUGACGAAGCGUGAGAGACGGUAAUGGGUAAAGAAGCACCGGCUAACUACGUG
This 468-nucleotide ribosomal RNA is filed under the name uncultured bacterium. RNAcentral's name for it is "partial 16S ribosomal RNA". It matches the Rfam family "Bacterial small subunit ribosomal RNA", at positions 28 to 507 of the family's 1533-position model. The record is from RNAcentral.